Long non-coding RNA from Lotus japonicus, 297 nucleotides. RefSeq lists it as uncharacterized. The transcript has 3 exons. Lineage: Eukaryota; Viridiplantae; Streptophyta; Magnoliopsida; Fabales; Fabaceae. The record is from RefSeq and is a predicted model, not a curated record.
CGAUAAAAAAAAAUAUAAGGGGUACUUAAAAAACGGGGUUGAUUGAAAAAGUUGGGUUGUCACUCGUCCCAAGUGAAAGGUAUGGGACAGAGGAGAAUAAAUGCUUCUUUGUUCAUUGGAAAUUCGUUUUCCUAUAAAUGCAAAUACAAACUUCCCAAGGGUAUUAUCAAGGUCCCCCUGUGGUGGCACCGCCACAAUAUGCGCCACAAUAUGCUGCUCCUUCAGCACCCAGAAAAGGCAGUGGAUUCCUUGAGGGAUGUUUUGCAGCUAUGUGCUGUUGCUGCCUUGUAGAUGAGU